GGGAUAACUACUGGAAACAGUUGCUAAUACCGAAUAAUAAAUUUUUUCGCAUGAAAAAAUUUUAAAAGAAGCUUGAAUUAUAGGCUUCACUUAAAAAUGGGGGUGCGGAACAUUAGUUAGUUGGUAGGGUAAUGGCCUACCAAGACAAUGAUGUUUAGCCGGGCCGAGAGGCUGUCCGGCCACACUGGGACUGAGAUACGGCCAAGACUCCUACGGGAGGCAGCAGUAGGGAAUUUUCCGCAAUGAGCGAAAGCUUGACGGAGCGACACAGCGUGCAGGAUGAAGGCCUUCGGGUUGUAAACUGCUGUGGUAAGGAAAGAAAAAAUAGAGUAGGAAAUGACUCUUAAUUGACGGUACCUUAUUAGAAAGCGA
Molecule: ribosomal RNA, 372 nt
Filed under: [Mycoplasma] collis
Lineage: Bacteria; Bacillati; Mycoplasmatota; Mycoplasmoidales; Metamycoplasmataceae
Description: Mycoplasma collis partial 16S ribosomal RNA
Rfam family: Bacterial small subunit ribosomal RNA
Source: RNAcentral